Molecule: ribosomal RNA, 236 nt
Filed under: uncultured bacterium
Lineage: Bacteria
Description: partial 16S ribosomal RNA
Rfam family: Bacterial small subunit ribosomal RNA
Source: RNAcentral
UGGCGGACGGGUGAGUAAUGUCUGGGAAACGUGCCUGAUGGAGGGGGAUAACUACUGGAAACGGUAGCUAAUACCGCAUAACGUCGCAAGACCAAAGAGGGGGACCUUAGGGCCUCUUGCCAUCGGAUGUGCCCAGAUGGGAUUAGCUAGUAGGUGGGGUAACGGUUCACCUAGGCGACGAUCCCUAGCUGGUCUGAGAGGAUGACCAGCCACACUGGAACUGAGACACGGUCCAG